CUAAAAUUGUCCUCCUGCAUCCCAGAGGAUCGUCUUGCACAAACCCUGAGGCGCCACUCCCACUGUGGGCAGCACUGCUUUACUCAGCAAACGUUCGCUGAGUCUCUUGUGCUCCAGUCUCUGUUCUCAGGCAGCUCACUGUCUGGAGGGAAUACAGGCAAGAGAACAGACCAUUACAACCGGAGUAAUGGGUGAGGUGAUAGAGGGAAGCAUAAACGGCUGUGGGAGCACUAGGAGGGACUUCACCCAGAGGAGGGAAUGCCUAAACAGUUGUUUAGAUGGAUGCACAGGUAAGUGGGUGGCUGGGUGGAUGAAUGAAUGGAUGAUGGAUGUACAGGUAAGUGGGUGGCUGGGUGGAUGAAUGAAUGGAUGAUGGAUGUACAGGUAAGUGGGUGGAUGGGUGGAUGAAUGAGUGGGUGAUGGAUGUACAGUUAGUAUGUGGAUGGGUGGAUGAAUGAAUGGAUGAAUAGGUAUAUAGGUGGGUGGAUGCAUUUGUGGGUAGAUAGGUGGAUGGAUGGCUAGGUUGGUAUGUGGGUGGAUAGGUGAGUAGAUGAAUGGGGGAAUUGGGGAAGGGUCAAUAAAUGGUUGUACGGGUGAGGAAACGUCACAGAAGGCAGUGGGGAAUGAGAGCAUAUUCCUGAUCAGGGCAGUCUUCCUUUACCUGGACUGUGAACACCUGAGGGCCGGGGACAAUACCUGAGUCAUCCCUUUAUUUCCACACCUAGCACAGGCCUGAUUCGUGGUAGGCCUUCAAUAAAUGUCGAGUAUGCGAAUCAACGAUAAUCAAGGAAUACCACGAAUUCAGAGUUCAGCCAAAUCUCUUCCCCUUUCUGGGCCUCAGUUUCUCUGUGUAAAUCAGAUAUGAAAACACCUGCCAUCAGAAUUUUUAAUGCUGUUGGUGCUGCAAAAGGGAGACUGUGCUUGGGAACCUGUUUUAGAAUUCGCCAUGUGACAGACCUCAGGCAACCAGCGUCUUCUACUUUGCCCACUGUCGCACUCCACAUCCGUGCCUCCGCGGCACUUUGUGUACAUUAUCUUACUCAACACUGGAUAGGUAUUGUUGUGAUUAUGCCCAUUUAACAGAUGAGGCUGUUGAGGCUCGGAGAGGCCAAGAAACUUUGAAGUCAGAUCAAUUGAGAUCGAAAUCCUGGCUCUGCCGUGUAAACUUGGGAAAGUUUACUUCACCUCUGGGAACCUCUCAAAGAUGAGGAGAUUAAACGAGAUAAAGCAUGGAAAGCGCCUGGCACACAGGAGGUCAUUGGUGGUGGUUCUCUUCGUUGCUCAAGCCGGGAAGUUAGAGUGAGAUUCUGUUCUUUCUAUCAACCAUGCUGAUGCCUUUACGUUAGUUAACAAAAAAGAUUACAGUUCUGCUUGGACUAUGGUGCUUCAACAUAUGUAAGGAAGAUUUCAACUGCACAUUUUGAAACUUGCAACGUUCAGAAUAACUAAAUAAUCAGUGAGCUGCUGUGGCCUCCCCGGGAAGAUAAUGUGCCAUUUCCUUCCCCCUCCUGCCUCCUAGUGGUGAAUGUGGGCACUGCAGGCUCAGCAUCCCCGCCCCCUCCCUCAACCUUCCAUCCAGGAGAGCCAGGCUCCCGGCUGCCUCCCAGGCCAUCUAGUGACUGUUGACUGCAGAGCAAGAAAGGAGGAGCGUGUGCCAAGCAAAUGAAUGAAGACGUCCUGCCUAGACCUCACGCCCUGCUCCAUCACUCACUGGCUGUGCGGCCUUGGGGGUAUCGUUCCCUGAAUGUUAGUUUCCACGUUGGUAAAAAUGGGUAAGACACCUACCUUGGAGAAUUUGGGGGGAUGAAUAUACUAACUGAGGCAAAACACCUAGCAAAGGGCGGAUGCUCCAUAAAAUAUAGUUCCUCUGCUAAUAAAAGGAAAAAUUAAAUAGCCCGACUAAAUUAUUACAGACUGGCUCACAGUUUCAUAGCAGAGUAAAGGGCCACGGGGCAGGUCAGUUUUGAGGGCAGGGGAAGAAGGUCAAAGGGCAUUGUUAGGACAAUCCAGGGCUGGGGCACAGCCGGGGAGUGUGGGUGCAGAGUCAAGAAGAGAUUCAAGAGCAUACCAAUGACCUUGAGAAGUGACCUCUGCUUGUGUUGUUAGGACACAGACAUGUGGAGGUCUCAGGCCACAGCAGAGGAGGGGACAUGAACAACAGCAAGUGUUCCAGGAAGGACUGUGGACCAGGCCAGUCAAGGAGUGCUCCCUGGAGGAAGGGAUAUUUAAAGCUGGGGUAGGUUCUGGAGAGUGAGGCGGGGAUCGAGGGGGUGUUCCAGAUCAGGGAGGGAAAGAAAGAGGAAGCACAAGCCAAGGUCCAAGGGCUUUGAGAAGGAGACCAGCUGGAGAGAAGGCAGGGCAGGAGGUCAGGCCAGACCACCCUGGGGCCAGGAGCUUCACCGGGACCCCCUGGAUGGGGAGGAGCCUGAGAAAAUGUUCCAACAGGGCCUGACAAGGGCAGAGGCUGAGCAGCUUAACUUAACAUCUCUGUGCAGAUUGGAUGGGAAGAAUGACUAGAUUUGGUUAAAUGCACGAAAAAUUCAAAGCCACAAUCCCUGAAGCCAGUAUGGGGUAGGAACAGCAAAGGGACACAGCUGUCUCCUGGCCCCGGCUCUUUUCAGCAGGCUCAGCGGCAGCUCCCCUCACUGAAAGGUGGCAAGGUGCAGUGCAGGGCCAGCCCUAGACCUGCUGAGCACCGCGACUGCCUGGGGACUGGGGCACCUUGAAAAACCAACUCCCCCACUCCAGCCCACAGCAGCUGAAGUAGGAUUUCUGGGGUUGGGCCCUGGAAUCAGAAUUGUUAGUAGCUCUGCAGGUGAUAGAGGUACUCCUCCAGGCUGAGGAUAAUCCGUGAGCAGGGAAAGAAUGGGGAUUUGGAGAAGGAUGGACGCAGAGCCAAUGCCAGGCCCAUUCCUUUUGGGCUGUGCUGCCCUGGGCAAGUCACUUCACCACUCUGAGUCCCAGGGUCCCACCUAUAAAACAGGCAUGAAAAACUCUCCCCAAAGAAUGUUGGAGGCUCCCAGCACUGGGCCAGGACAUGGCAGGUGCUUAGUGGAUGGAAGACUAAACCCAGGGGUGCCUGGGGCUCUGACUGCCCCUGCCUGCGCUCCACACACUCAGCCUGUGAGUUGAUAAUUAAGUCUCCCCAAGAAGAAGUGGCUAGAAAUGAUUUUGGAGGAAAUGAGGCCAGUCCCCAGGAAGGAAUGGCUGCAGCAGAUUAAUGUCAAGGUUUGCCCUGGGUUUUCCCUUGCCCAUCACGCCAUCCCAGCUGGCCCUGGAAGAAGUAGUGGGGGGCAGACAGGGCACGUCCUAGGGGCCUCAAUGUCCCUUCAGGGGCUCUUCCUCCCUCCGACCAGCCUCCAGGCGCCCUCAGCUGCCCCCUCCCCUUUCGUCUCAGGCAAGCCAGGGCUAGCUCCCAGGAGAGAGGCCAGCAUUCUGUGGUUUCGGAGCCCCCGGGGACCCCAAGGUCUCUGGGUGGUUGUAGGGUGAUCAUUUACGGUGGCUGAAUGGGGGCCUAGAGGUCAAGUGUGGAUCCUGCGGUCAAUGAGGAGGAAGGAACGACAGGAUUGGAUUGCUGGCUGGGUAUAAGGAGGGAUGAGGGCAUUGAAGGUGACGCCCUGGUUUUGGGCCUGGACAAGGGGUGAGCCAAGGAGGGAGUAGGAGAAAGGAGUGUGCCUGUUACUGUGGCAGGACACACAGGAAGAGCAGAUUUGGGGUGGGAGAAGAUCCUCAGCUUCCUAAUGGGGAGGAGAAUGUAUCAGAACUCCUUCCAGCCCCCUGGCUCAACAGAUUCAAAGUGGCUUAGACACACAGCGCGUUCUGUUUUCUGCGUUUGUUUUUCUUCUCCCAUGAAGCAGUCCAGGUGGUCUGGAACCUGGAGAUAGAUGACUGGAGCUGAGGAGAUCUGCACGAGCGUGGUCGGACCCCACGCCUCUUCACAGGACCCACGUUCACAAAAUGGGGGCGUUGGCAUGAUCUGAGGGUGGAGUUUUUAGCCUCUUGACGUCAAAAGGUUGCUUAUCAGACAUCUGCGCAGGCCCAGUUGAAGGAUUGGUAGUCUCAACCAGCCUGGAGUGGACAAGGG
Equus caballus (horse) is the source of this 4084-nucleotide long non-coding RNA. The record is from Ensembl. Lineage: Eukaryota; Metazoa; Chordata; Mammalia; Perissodactyla; Equidae.